Long non-coding RNA from Camelina sativa (false flax), 979 nucleotides. RefSeq lists it as uncharacterized. The record is from RefSeq and is a predicted model, not a curated record. Lineage: Eukaryota; Viridiplantae; Streptophyta; Magnoliopsida; Brassicales; Brassicaceae.
AUUACGUAUCUUUUAUAUUAUCAAAAGAAGACAACCAUGUAAAGCCACGUCCCACGUUGAAUCUUCUUAUGUAUAGUAUAACUGUAUAAGUAGAGAGUAAAGGAGAAGAAGAACAUUAUCACAACCAUCCAAAUCUUCAAGAUGUGAAAACAUUAGCCAAAAAAAAGUCCCAUCUUGUAGCGAUAUUUACCAUUUCGAUUCUUCCUAUGAUCAAUUCCACAUCGCCAAGCCGGGAGAGGUUCUUCACAUCGAUAUUCUAGACAUAGAUACCACCGUGGAGCUACUCUUGGGUGUAAACCUAAGAAUAAAUGAUUGCUCACAAACUUGGUAAUUAAGCACAUAAAUGAUUGCUCACAAACUUGGUAAUUAAGCACACCGUACAUCUACUUGGAAGUGACAGUCCUUUAUGUGACACUCAAGAUCUGCUCUCGUAGUAACAAGGAAAAAAGGCAACAAAAAAAGAUGAAAGUCAGGAUUGGAACUCCUCACCAAAAAAGAUGCAUGGGGCACCUAGGUAACAAUUAAACUGUGUAACUAAACUAACCAAAUGUAUUAGAUAAUUUUUAACAAGUAGCAUGGGGCACGUGCCCCACCCCAUCACUACAUAGAUCCACCCCUGGUUAUAUCCCCAUCCACUUACACUUAAGGUCGAUGUCAAUAGUAUGAUAAUAAAUGUUACUUUGACGUAAAGCAUCUUAUGGCGAGAGCAGCGGUUUCAUCUAUUAUUGGUGUUGCAUAGAUCAUCCAAAUUAUCCAUGCUUGUCUGGUUAAACAACGGAAGCUUUGUCAGAGAUCUCCCAAGGGUUUAUUUUAUCGUUGAGUUUGCUAUGUUUUCAGCUUUUUCGUCGUAUAAAAAUCUUGUUGUGAAUUCUUCUUCACAGUGGCUUUUAUCAAUAAAAAUCGGGUUCAAAAUAAUUCCAUUGAUGUAAAAUAUUACGAGAGAAGUGAGAAGAGCUGUUAUGAUCUUAUUUUCCCAUUA